Molecule: ribosomal RNA, 301 nt
Filed under: uncultured bacterium
Lineage: Bacteria
Description: partial 16S ribosomal RNA
Rfam family: Bacterial small subunit ribosomal RNA
Source: RNAcentral
CAGCCGCCACGGUAACACGUAGGUGGCAAGCGUUGUCCGGAAUUAUUGAGCGUAAAGCGCGCGCAGGUGGUUUAAUAAGUCUGAUGUGAAAGCCCACGGCUCAACCGUGGAGGGUCAUUGGAAACUGUUAAACUUGAGUGCAGGAGAGAAAAGUGGAAUUCCUAGUGUAGCGGUGAAAUGCGUAGAGAUUAGGAGGAACACCAGUGGCGAAGGCGGCUUUUUGGCCUGUAAUUGACACUGAGGCGCGAAAGCGUGGGGAGCAAACAGGAUUAGAUACCCGCGUAGUCCCUGUCUCUUAUAC